AUUGAACGCUGGCGGCAUGCCUUACACAUGCAAGUCGAACGGUAACAGGUCUUCGGAUGCUGACGAGUGGCGCACGGGUGCGUAAUACAUCGGAACGUGCCCGAUCGUGGGGGAUAACGCAGCGAAAGCUGUGCUAAUACCGCAUACGAUCUACGGAUGAAAGCGGGGGAUCGCAAGACCUCGCGCGGACGGAGCGGCCGAUGGCAGAUUAGGUAGUUGGUGGGAUAAAAGCUUACCAAGCCGACGAUCUGUAGCUGGUCUGAGAGGACGACCAGCCACACUGGGUCUGAGACACGGCCCAGACUCCUACGGGAGGCAGCAGUGGGGAAUUUUGGACAAAGGGCGCAAGCCUGAUCCAGCCAUGCCGCGUGCAGGAUGAAGGCCUUCGGGUUGUAAACUGCUUUUGUACGGAACGAAAAAGCUCUCUCUAAUACAGGGGGUGAAUGACGGUACCGUAAGAAUAAGCACCGGCUAACUACGUG
RNAcentral lists this ribosomal RNA (482 nucleotides) under uncultured bacterium. RNAcentral describes it as "partial 16S ribosomal RNA". It matches the Rfam family "Bacterial small subunit ribosomal RNA", at positions 30 to 507 of the family's 1533-position model. The record is from RNAcentral.